CACGUAGGCGGCUUUUUAAGUCAGGGGUGAAAUCCUGGAGCUCAACUCCAGAACUGCCUUUGAUACUGAGGAGCUUGAGUCCGGGAGAGGUGAGUGGAACUGCGAGUGUAGAGGUGAAAUUCGUAGAUAUUCGCAAGAACACCAGUGGCGAAGGCGGCUCACUGGCCCGGUACUGACGCUGAGGUGCGAAAGCGCGGGGAGCAAACA
RNAcentral lists this ribosomal RNA (207 nucleotides) under uncultured bacterium. RNAcentral describes it as "partial 16S ribosomal RNA". It matches the Rfam family "Bacterial small subunit ribosomal RNA", at positions 568 to 774 of the family's 1533-position model. The record is from RNAcentral.